CCCUGGCGACCAGAUUGUACGAAUAGGCUAGCUGUCAAACCGAUCAGCCUAUGCUUCUCGUGUGUGGAUAUGUGCGUCGCCACGAGUGUGUGUGUCGACAUGUUGUCAUCGUAUAUCUGCCUUGUGUGGUUUUGUACCUAGCGUGAUUUGGCGUCCAAAACUAAAUAAACAUUCUGCAAUCGUUGUGAACAAUCUGAUUUGGUUAGUGUUUUUUGAAACAAAAUAUAUGAAAAUGAAACGUAACUCUUCGCAUUUUCAUAAAUUAGGUGUUACGGGUCAACUGUAAAUGUCGGCUCGAAGGGAAGCUUUGGAAAAGUCUGCUGAACAAGAAUCCGAAAAUGCUGACCCUGAUUCUACGGUUGAUUGUUUACAUGUCGGUAAGUAAUUACAGGAACGAAAGAAACGAAUGAUUUCAUAGCUCUUCGCUGUGUUAAAGAAUACAAUUUCAUGCCGUCCGUUUCAGACAACCAUACAGAAGACAACCAAACAAUCGAUGUUGAUCCGAUUAUUGAAACACCGGAUGGUUAUACCGACAACACGUUUGAAGCAUCGUAUCUCGACGAAGAUUAUGAUUGGCUGAGUCAAGCUGAUUGAGCAUGUGAAUGUUUCAGAAAGGAUUAAUAUUAAUGUAUCCAUCGAUUGAUUGCCAUUGUUCAAAGGAUCUCCUUCUUCAUUUUGGUCAAUAUUGAUCAACGUUCAUGAGAUUCCGAUUCUGUCGCCUAUGAUUGCAGCAAUGUUCCGCAUUUAUAUGCGAUGUCCCGGCAAGAGCUUACUAUCAAGGUGUCAUGUAUUUCAACGCAAAACAUGGAUGUUUGAAAUGUUGCACCGUCGGCGUACACAGAUCUAAGAAUAGAUAGAAGAUAUUGUGGUAGCAGAUCGCCUGCAUCUAUAUCUCGUUUAUAAAAAAAUUGUUAAUAUUGUUAAAAACAAGCGUAUUUAUUAAAAGGUUGUGAAAGAAAUUAACUCAAGAAUAUGCUGUAAACUCUUACAGUUCUAAUGUGUUCCCGUCCUUUUGGUAAACUUAUCAAGAGGUUGCGUGAACGAUUUGAUGCCGAUUUUUGUUGCUGAUUAGC
Molecule: long non-coding RNA, 1073 nt
Organism: Anopheles funestus (African malaria mosquito)
Lineage: Eukaryota; Metazoa; Arthropoda; Insecta; Diptera; Culicidae
Exons: 3
Source: RefSeq, a predicted model, not a curated record